AUCGGUCCUCGGAGCACUGCUGUAGCUGAAAGAAGGCCAGGAGCCCGUGAAGGUCCAGUCCGCGGUCGUUCUUGCCCGGGAUUCCGGAACCGCAGCCCCGCACCGCCACAGAGAAUUGCCCGUGGACUACGGAGGAAAAGGGGUGGGGUCAGAGCAGCCAGGGCCGGUGGGCGGAGCUUUGAAUGAACGAUACACCUGGAUGGUCUGGCCUGGGUCAACAGGUGGGAAUCUCAAAAAGGGCAGAUCUGUGGGUAGAGAGCUACCGGAGAAGGGAGGGUGGUGUGGUCAAAGAGAAGAGCUUCAAAGAAUACAGUCCAACGAGAACAGGCUGAUUAACAAACGCAACAGCCUGGAGAGCCGGGCUCAAACUGAAGCCUCAACGACUACGUCAAAAGGGGGAGGAGCCUCAGAAAGUAGCUUCCGAAGGAUCCAGUUAAGAGACUGAAGAAAAAAAGUUUAAGAGAAAGGCUAGGAGACAAACACGGUGGUACAAGCCUGCAAUCCCGGCUACUGAGGAGGCUGAGGCAGUGGGGUCUGGAGUUGCAGUCUAGCUUGUACUGCAUAAGGAGACCCUGCCGCCAGCAAAAGCGGACUUGGUGGUACAAGCCACCAGGUGACUCAGGAAGCUGAAAGAGGAGACUCACAACCAAAAGGGCCUGUCUGAACGUCAUAACGUCCACCCCGGGACCACAUUUGACUGUCUUCAUCCUGUGCGGAGAGCAUCCAUCGUCCGCCUUCUGCACGCAGCUGUAGCACUCCAGGGCUUGCGCUCCUGCGGGGGCCCCGACUCUACCUUCCUGGCAACACACCCACCUUCACACAGCAGAAGCGGCAGCAGCAACAGCCAUCCGGUGGUCCACAUCACUGGCUGUGUAUCUCCUCUCCUGGCGGCAUCCAUAGCUGUGUCCUGCUCUCUCCGCGUCCCCCCUGGGUGUGCCACCUUCCAACCCGGGCCCUCUUACCUGAGCCUCAGAUGAGUAACCUACCCCGGGGCAACCCUGGCCUUGCCCAACCAGGCCAACUCAGCGUCCGCUGUGGGGCGGGCCCGCCUCUAGGUGCGUCACCCACAGGGAGAGCGGCCCCUGCCCUGUGCCCUUGCCAAGGAGGGAAAGGGCGGGAGUAGAGGUUCCCUCCAGUCCCCUGGAUAAAAGUUUGUGUGUGGGUUUCAGAGGCAGAGGGAGUACCGGGGCUCAAAGAGAGACAGGGGCAUUCAGGGUCUGCUAGGGUUCUGAGCUUAUGUGGUGUGCCUGCCUGCCUGCCUUCGCCUGGGGAUUGGAGACCCUGAGGCAGAACCACUGUCUGUCUUCGAAGAGCUCCCAGACUGAUGGAAGAUACAGAUAUUAAUUAAAUAAUUGGGAAAACUGUUAUUUACAAGUCAGGCUUAGUGACUCAUGCCUGUAAUCACAGCACUCACUGAGCUGAGGCAGGAGGAUUGCCAUGAGUUUGAGGCACGGCGAUUCCAGGCCUCACUGAACUACAGAAAGAGAUCUUAUCUCAAAAAGCCAAACAAACAACUCGGUUAUAACUUACAAGAGAUUAAGGCUCUGGAGGAACAUGCAUAAAGAGCUACAAGCAGAGUUGGAAUUGAGAAGAACAAACAAGGUCAUUACACCGAUCACGCUGUGAUUCCACAAGCCCACAUGCUGUUCCUAGGUCUUUGGCUCUGGCUGUCUCCUAGACAGGAUGUUGUGGCAUGAUGUAAGCCCAUAAUCCCAGCACUCAGAAGGCUGAAGCAAGAGGAUCACAUGUUCGAGACCAGUCUGGGCUACAAAAUGGUGGACCUUCGAGAUUGAUUAUAGGAUAAAAGUGCUUGCCACCAAGCCUGACAACCUGAGUUUGGUCCCCAGGACCCACAUCGUGGGAGAGAACACAUUGUCCUCUGACGUCCACGUGUGCCCAGAUGUACACACAAUAACAAACAGUGCACUUUUUAAAAAGAGAGAGAAUAUACCAGUCCGUUUAUAAGCAGCCUCUUCAGAGAGGAGCACGGUGGCCAUUCCUCAGAGGAGGAAACUGAGUCCCAGAGAGAAAGCUACUCUUCUCCACAGGCCAGUGGAGGGUCCGUCAGCCCCAGCCAGCCAGAUUGGUGACUAUGAAAGGGAUGAGCAGCUAUGUUCAGAGAGAUCUCUGCUGCCCGGCCCCUGCCCAGCACCCCUGUUCCCAACAAUGACAAGCACCUCAGUCACCUAGGUGGGGUCACCUGUCAUCCAGGGAAGACUCAGAGGGAGAAAGUGAGCGAUUCUCGUGAUGUCAUUCAAACUUGGCUCGAGCUGCACUGCCUCCACCUCAGGAUCCCAGCCCUACAUCUUUGCUGUGUGACCCUCAAUAAAUGUUCUUCCCUCUCUGAGGCUCCAAGGUAUCUUUUAAAAGGAUUUUUAUUCUUACACAGGGUCCUACUAUACAUACAGCCCUGCUGGCCCUGGAACUCACUAUGUAGACCAAGCUGGCCUUGAACACACAGAGAUCUGCCUGGCUCUGCCUUCCGAGUGCUGGGAUUAAAGAUGUACACCACCAAGCCUGGCUCAAAGUGUCCUUUUCAUUGUAAAGGGAAAGGGUGGUACAGUGAGCAAGGGAUGGAGUCUGGAACUAGAAAGAUUGAAAUUUUAAUCUUACUCUGCGACUCCAGAUAACUUUCUCUCCCUCUCUGGAGGACUCCUUUUGUCAAAUAGGUCUGCAAACCUAUUUGAGAGAGAUAGAAGUCUUAGAGAGUAGCCGAUGAUGAUACUGCCUGUUUUAGGCUCAGGAGGCCCCACAGGUCCCAGGAGCGUGGGAGAGUUUCAGGGGAGGAACCCCGACUGGUCAGACCAGAAGAGCAAGCAUCUUGGGCGGGAGUGGGACCCAGGGUGGGGAGUCUGCUCCUGCUCAGGCCUGCCUGGAUUUGGGUUCCUGACCUGGGCCCAGCUGGGACCCAGGGAGCUGGAGGCUGUUAGGUUGAUUUACAUAUUUGUUUGUUUGCUUAUUUCCAUGCUAUGUAUGUGUUUGUUUUCUAGCAAUCUUCACUUUUGCUGUAUUGGAGCUGGAACUCAGAGCCCAGUGCCUGCUAGGCCAGGUCCCUGUAGUGAACUUGCCCCCAGCUCCUCACUGUGGGUUUGUGGGAUUCUCCUCACUUGCAUAGGAUCCAGAGGCCUCGUCGGAGGCAGCCAUGACGUAAGCCUGACGUGACUGGGGCCUUGUCUGGGAUGGGUUUCUAGUCCUCAGAGGCCAGGCUGGCUCACUCCAUUGUUUCCCCACAUUUGACUUACAAAACACAAUUUAAAUCUAAAUUAAGAACGGAGCCUAAAGGUUGGCAGGCUCUCUUCUGAACAAGACUCAUGGCCUACUUUGACCACCAGACUUCUUCAAACUGCCUGCUUCACCCGUGUCUGAUUCUGCCUGGGGACCAGCUGAGGGGACACCCCAGAUGAUACCUAAAAGAUGAAGAGAGACAACAGCCCAAGAGUUUUCUGAUGGCCUUGCUUGCAGCUGUCCAUCAUCCUCAGAAUCACUUUCUCACAAACUGAUUGAAGCAUUAAACGCAGUUCAAUACCACCACACUAGUAUUCAAGGGCACACUAGUGAUGAGACAGCCCAGGAGAUCUGCUGCCAGGAAUAAGCCAGGGCAGUCAAGGCCAGGAGAGAACAGUCAGACUGCAAUAAGGAUGGGCAAACUGAAUUUAUGACUCAACCAAGGCAAUCAGGGAAGGCUUCCUGGAAGAGGGGACAUCCUCGUGUAAGUUAGGAACCAGAGAUGGGCUAAGUACCUAAACUAAUUGAAUGAGCAACGACCCAGAGGUGGCAAAGGUCCCUCUCCCUUCUAUCACGGAAUGACAGGUUUCACUGGGAACCACAGGGCACGAUGGAAGGGCUCAAAAGAAGUGCCUGGAUCAUCUAAGAAUCGGGAUGGGGGGCUUUCAGGUGGGGCCACUGAACUUAAACCUUACAAAGGGAAGAGGGCAGAGGGGGAACCCUAAAGAAAAUUCAGGAAGGAGGACGUACUUAAGUUUCUAGAGCCUGCUAGAAGCCGGGCUGGUCAAAAAAAAAAAAAAAAAAAAAAAAUGCAUAGAGGCAGAUAGACCUACAUAUUAAAACCCCCAAAUCACAGAAGAUUAAGGCUACGUGUCUGUCCAUCUCUCCUCCCAUCCAUGCAUGACCUUAGGGGUUGAAAGUCUCUAUCGUUCCUGCCCAGGGCCCCAGGACUUCAGCGCUGGAAUCCACACCAGCAACUCUGUUUUUUCACCAUGUUUAAUUCGAUAUCAGAGGAGCACCAAUAAAUAGUUCCUUCCACCCCUGUGCUCUUCCUCCUGCCCCCAAGCGGGGCCUCCAGGGCCUGGCGAUGCAGCCGCUGGAAGACAGAGGCAGCCCAGACCUCCACGGCUCAGGCCAGCUGAGCCGGAGCGGCUGCAGAGAUCUCAGGAGAAGGCCAAAGGGGCGGGGCCGAGAGCUUCCUGAAGUGGGCGGGGCCCCAAAGGCCGCUGGGCGUUGGAGAUGGAUCAGCAGCUGAGAGCGCUGGCUGCUCUUGGCGAAGACUAAGGUUCAGUUCCCAGUACCCAUGUGGUGCUCACGAUCAUCUGUAUUGCCACUUCCUGAGGACCCGAUGACCUGCUCUGACCUCUGUGGGCAGACAUACAUCUAUGCAGGCAUAACAUCCAUGCACAUGAGAUGAAGUAAAUCUGUUGGCUUCACACUCGGAGAUCCACCCACCCCUGCCUUCCUGGUGCUGAGGUUACAGCUGUGUGUCACUGUGCCCAGUGCACACGAUGCUGCCGCUCGAACUCAGGGCUUAGUGCACGCUUGGCAAGCUCUCUACCGACUGAGUGUACAGUGCACCCCCAGGCUCUGAGCUUUAGUUAUGGUCCGGUGCUGGACGGGUGGAGCAGGACCCUCUUGGUUGGAGGACAGGAGAUGGUGGCAUAUAAUAAAAGGCAAAAGCCAAGAGGCAAAAGCACCCAGAAGGGACAGAGGGGACUAACCGUGAUGGCAGGAACGGCAGGGCCUGUGGAACUUUCUCGGCUUCUUCUCAUCCCUUCCUGUGGAUUCAUGAGGGAGAAUCAAGCAGGAUCCCAACCCGUAAGACAGAGAAAUGUCUGAAUAAGGGGGGCUUAUUCUGAAUGUCUGAAUAAGAUAAUACAGGGGUCUGAGGGAGGAGGGCUGAGUCUGGAGCCCUGGGUCUGAGGGAGGAGGCUGGGGUCUGGAGCCCUUGGUCUGAGGGAGGAAGGCUGAGUCUGUGCAUGUAAAGGAGUGGGGUCAAAUGCCCCUUUCUAAGGAGAAGGGCCUGCAGUCUCACCCUGUCCUUGAGCAGACGUUCCCUCUCGGCCACAGCCAGCUGCAGGAGUCGCUCCAUGUGUGCGAUGUCUGAACGAAGCACCGAGUGUCUAAGCGGACAAAGCAGAGAGGACGGUUACCUCGGCUGGCCUCCUCCUCCCUCUCCCCCAUCCCUCUCCCUCCCCCCUGCCCCCACUCCCUCUCAUGCCUCACCUAUUCCCAGGGCCACAGUUGAGCAGCUGAUAGAGAGGGUGUCUCCCAGGGGUCCCCACAGCUUGUGAAAGAGCCGAGGCCUCCAGAGGUCCUGAGGAAGAGGGCACGGGAUGUGGGGCCAGGUGUUUCCUCCCUUGCCCCUCUGUUUCUCCAGCCAACACCCAAGCAAUUUUUCCAUCCUCUGCCUAGGAUGGCUGAGGGCGGGGCAGGAGGGGAACAGAAGUGUCCUUACCUGUACAGUGGAGGGACAAAGGCCGGGAGGAUCCCCUCUGGCUGGCCCUUUCUCCCCUCCUCCGGGGCAGGCUUCCUGUCCUCUGGAGACCAAUAGACCCCUGAAAACACACACACAAACAAAGGUUGUGUUUGUAAGGUAGGCUGCCCCAGAGGUGCUUAGGAUAAUGGCUUCACUGACAGCUGUACGCUCUGGGGUGAGUGGGUGGAAAGGCUCCGGCUCUAUCAGUCAGUUAACCCGUUAGUGCAUUCGUGAUCUGAUGACAUCACUUGGAGGCUAUAAGACGAAUGAACGCUGGCGACAUGGCUCAGAAAGAGUUGGCAUGUAAACAUGAGAACCAGACAUCCACCCAUGCAGGAAGAGUCAUCGUCCAGCAAGAUGGCUCAAGCCCAGGCUGCCAAGUCUAAUGCCUGAGUUCAGGCCCUGUGCAGCGGAAUAAGAAGACUGGUGAUUCCCACUGGCUGUUCGGUGAUGUUCAGGGCAGAGAGUAGCAGUGAAGGCUCCUGAUGGACCGCUGCUGCCAGCCCCGCCCUCCCCAGUGUGCACAUGCGCAAACAGAGAGGGGCAGUACCUGCAGGGAGCUGUGCACCGAG
Long non-coding RNA from Mus musculus (house mouse), 6279 nucleotides. RefSeq annotates it as predicted gene, 26550. The record is from RefSeq and is a predicted model, not a curated record. The transcript is spliced from 9 exons. Lineage: Eukaryota; Metazoa; Chordata; Mammalia; Rodentia; Muridae.